This 274-nucleotide ribosomal RNA is filed under the name uncultured bacterium. RNAcentral's name for it is "partial 16S ribosomal RNA". It matches the Rfam family "Bacterial small subunit ribosomal RNA", at positions 523 to 796 of the family's 1533-position model. The record is from RNAcentral.
AUACGGAGGGUGCAAGCGUUACUCGGAAUCACUGGGCGUAAAGCGCGCGCAGGCGGGCUGAUAAGUUGGAUGUGAAAGCCUACGGCUCAACCGUAGAACUGCAUCCAAAACUGUCAGUCUAGAGUCUGGGAGGGGAAGAUGGAAUUAGUUGUGUAGGGGUAAAAUCCGUAGAGAUAACUAGGAAUACCAAAAGCGAAGGCGAUCUUCUGGAACAGUACUGACGCUGAGAUGCGAAAGCGUGGGGAGCAAACAGGAUUAGAAACCCUAGUAGUCC